GACGAACGCUGGCGGCGUGCUUAACACAUGCAAGUCGAACGGAAAGGCCCUGCUUUUGUGUGGUGCUCGAGUGGCGAACGGGUGAGUAACACGUGAGUAACCUGCCCUUGACUUUGGGAUAACUUCAGGAAACUGGGGCUAAUACCGGAUAGGAGCUCCUGCUGCAUGGUGGGGGUUGGAAAGUUUCGGCGGCUGGGGAUGGACUCGCGGCUUAUCAGCUUGUUGGUGGGGUAGUGGCUUACCAAGGCUUUGACGGGUAGCCGGCCUGAGAGGGUGACCGGCCACAUUGGGACUGAGAUACGGCCCAGACUCCUACGGGAGGCAGCAGUGGGGAAUAUUGCACAAUGGGCGGAAGCCUGAUGCAGCAACGCCGCGUGCGGGAUGACGGCCUUCGGGUUGUAAACCGCUUUCGCCUGUGGCGAAGCGUGAGUGACGGUAAUGGGUAAAGAAGCACCGGCUAACUACGUG
Molecule: ribosomal RNA, 468 nt
Filed under: uncultured bacterium
Lineage: Bacteria
Description: partial 16S ribosomal RNA
Rfam family: Bacterial small subunit ribosomal RNA
Source: RNAcentral